This 2284-nucleotide ribosomal RNA is filed under the name human gut metagenome. RNAcentral's name for it is "bacterial LSU rRNA". It matches the Rfam family "Bacterial large subunit ribosomal RNA", at positions 3 to 2301 of the family's 2925-position model. The record is from RNAcentral.
UCAAGCUACUAAGGGCAUACGGUGGAUGCCUAGGCGCCAAGAGCCGAAGAAGGACGCGGUAAGCUGCGAAAAGCCACGGGGAACUGCAAGCAAGUAUUGAUCCGUGGAUAUCCGAAUGGGGAAACCCGGCCAUCGUCAUGGAUGGUCACCCGCAAGGGAGGGAACCUGGGGAACUGAAACAUCUAAGUACCCGGAGGAAGAGAAAUCAAACGAGAUGCCCACAGUAGCGGCGAGCGAAGAGGGCAGAGCCCAAACCGAGAAGCUCCGGCUUUUCGGGGUUGAGGACCGGCAGAAUCGAAGUCAGGCCUAGUCGAAUUACCUGGAAAGGUAAGCGAGAGAGGGUAAAAGCCCCGUAGACGAAAGGCAGAGCAGAGAGGCCGAGAUCCAGAGUACCACGAAGCACGAGGAAUUUUGUGGGAAGCAGGGGGGACCACCCUCCAAGGCUAAAAACUACUUGGCGACCGAUAGCGCAUAGUACCGUGAGGGAAAGGUGAAAAGAACCCCGGGAGGGGAGUGAAAUAGUACCUGAAACCGUAUGUCUACAAGCAGUCGAAGCGAAAGCGACGGCGUGCCUAUUGAAGAAUGAACCAACGAGUUAUCUGCACUAGCGAGGUUAAGUGGAAGACACGGAGCCGCAGCGAAAGCGAGUCUUAAGAGGGCGCUAGUUAGUGUAGGUAGACCCGAAACCGCAGUGAUCUACCCAUGUCCAGGUUGAAGCGCAGGUAAAAUUGCGUGGAGGACCGAACCGGUGAGCGUUGAAAAGCUUUCGGAUGAGAUGUGGGUAGGGGUGAAAUUCCAAUCGAACGCGGAGAUAGCUGGUUCUCCCCGAAAUAGCUUUAGGGCUAGCCUGAGGUAGUAAGUAUAGGCGGUAGAGCACUGAUCGGGCUAGGGGCCGUAAAGGUUACCGAACCCUGUCAAACUCCGAAUGGAUAUACUGUAGAGCCUUGGAGUCAGACUACGAGUGAUAAGAUCCGUGGUCAAAAGGGAAACAGCCCAGACCACCAGCUAAGGUCCCCAAUGUCGUACUAAGUGGAAAAGGAUGUGGGGUUUCAUAAACAACCAGGAUGUUGGCUCAGAAGCAGCCACCAUUUAAAGAGUGCGUAAUAGCUCACUGGUCGAGAGACCCUGCGCCGAAGAUUCCCGGGGCUAAAGUACGAAACCGAAGCUGUGGCUGUAUACGUAAAGUAUACGGGGUAGGGGAGCGUUCCCAUAGGGUAGAAGUCGAACUGGAAGGUUCGGUGGACUUGUGGGAAGUGAGAAUGUUGGUAUGAGUAGCGAAAAGAAAGGUGAGAAUCCUUUCCACCGAAAGCAUAAGGAUUCCUGAGCAACGAUCGUCGUCUCAGGGUAAGUCGGGACCUAAUCCGAGGCAGAGAGCGUAGGAGAUGGACAACUGGUUGAUAUUCCAGUACCGGUAGUAAUUGUUUGAGCAAUGGAGUGACACAGAAGGGCAGGCAAGCAUGCGAAUGGAAGAGCAUGUGUAAGCGUGUAGGGUGGUGCAUAGGCAAAUCCGUGCACUGAAAGCCUGAGGCGUGAUGCGGAGUGAGCAGAGAUGCGAGCGAAGUUGUUGACCCCACACUGUCGAGAAAAGCUUCUAGUGAGAGAGCUACCGCCCGUACCGUAAACCGACACAGGUAUGCGGGGAGAGAAUCCUAAGGUGCGCGGGAGAACCCUCGUUAAGGAACUCGGCAAAAUGUACCCGUAACUUCGGGAUAAGGGUAGCCACUGUUGUGAAGUCCCAUGCGGAUGGAGCAUAGAGUGGUCGCAGAGAAGAGGCCCAAGCGACUGUUUACCAUAAACACAGGUGCCUGCUAAAGCGAAAGCUGACGUAUAGGUGCUGACACCUGCCCAGUGCCGGAAGGUUAAGGAAGGAUGUUCGGAUUAGUCCAAAGCAUUCGACUGAAGCCCCGGUGAACGGCGGCCGUAACUAUAACGGUCCUAAGGUAGCGAAAUUCCUUGUCGGGUAAGUUCCGACCCGCACGAAAGGUGUAACGAUUUGGGCACUGUCUCAACGAGGGACCCGGUGAAAUUGAAAUACCUGUGAAGAUGCAGGUUACCCGCGACUGGACAGAAAGACCCCAUGGAGCUUUACUGUAACCUGACAUUGGGUUUUGAUACAUUACGUACAGGAUAGGUGGGAGGCUUGGAAAGUUGGACGCUAGUCUGACUGGAGCCGACGUUGGGAUACCACCCUUGAUGUAUUGAAAUUCUAACCGCGAGAGUAACGAAAUCCGGGACAGUGUCAGGCGGGCAGUUUGACUGGGGCGGUCGCCUCCGAAAGAGUAAC